UUUAAAGCCAACGCCCUGCUUUUCAACAGACAAUGAUGGGCAUCUCGGAUUAAAAAACAGAAAGAAAAAAAUCUUCUGCAACAAUUAAAUGCUAUCAAAGAUAUCUGAAUCCUGCUAAGGCGACUUUCAAAGGCAAACAGCAUCUAUUUUGUCAAGCAUCUAUGCUGAAAGUUUAUGGAGUAAAGCAGUAAAAAGAAUAAAACACAACGAAGAAGAUGCAGCUUUCUUCCUGAAAGGCGAAAGAAGGCAAAGGGGAAUUGUUCUAAACCAUAUUUGAGGUCCGCUAUAAUCGGGGCAGAACAACAAAGCACAGAGCCUGCACAUCCUACAUUUACUAUACAUCCAAAACUUUGCUAGCUCAGAGAAGAAGACAAGGCUCUGAAAUCAAGCCCAGAUUUUUCACUAUUACAUAAAGCAAACAAUUCACAGAUGACACAUUCUCUCAUGCCUUGAUGCCUUUCUCUGGAUCCAAAAGAUUAAUUUCCUCAACUGGACUAAGCUUGUAUUCCUUCACAGUUGUGCUUUCCCAUGCUGCUGGCAACAGCAGAUUGACUAGAAUGAGGAGUGGCUGCUGCAGGGGAAGCAUUACAGAUAAAAACAAAAACACAAAUGGAAUGGAUUUGAAGGAUUCUAGAACACUUUUCUCUGCUGCUAGGAGAAGCUGAAGAGCAGAAAAAAAAUAUGAAAGAACAGAAACGCUGAAACUUGGUGACUGCAUGCAUGAGAAAUGGUGGAAAUGAGAACAUGUGAAAGAUCUGGAAACAAAGCAAAGUUGUAUGGGAGACCUUCCCUGCAACCUCAAAAGAAACAUAAGAAAACUCCUUUCCAUAUUCCUGCAAAAAAGAAAAAGGCUGAAAUUAGUGAUCCAACUAUUGCACAGAAAGUACAUGCACUGCUUAAGAUUGUGGAUUUCCAAUGAGACAGUGAGUCGUUUAUUGCAGCGGUUCAGCACAGAAACCACCAGGAGAGGCUUAAGAGGAAGAAACAGAAUCUCACUCACUAACGGAGGUAACUUUGCCAUUCUGCAAAAACAGAGGUUGUGCUCUGUUAGCGAAGGUGAUUUGACACACCCAACAGGCUCCUCGGGGAUGUUAAUUCCAGACAUGCAUUUGUCACUGCUGUUCAGUCUGGCAACGUACUACUUUGUAGCUCAGUGCUUUCUCCGCCAAGUCUUCUUUCAGCGAAUGCCUUCAGUCGGUUUGCUUGUUGCAAUGACAAUGGUUACAAGAGGGGGCCUGAAGCCCUACCUUCCAGUUCUGUUCCCUACAGGAAAUAAGCAAUCUGAGAGAAGGAUUAAGGUCCACCAAAAAACCUAAGACUUCAAAUUCUGAACAUCCUAACAAACAUCAUUUUCCAGCACUUGGGCUGUGGUCUCAUUCUCUUGAAUUCAAGUGAAAAAACUGUUGCUGUUGUGACUAUCUAAAGACUUUUUCCAUCUUACAUUUUGUUCCUUGCCUUUGCUGUUUUCAAUUGCCAUGCCAAAGUUUCUCCUGUUUAUUCUAAUUGUUUUAGUGUGUCUGACUCUCAUUGGUUUAUAUGUUUAGUCUUGUCCUGAUUUAGUAUGAAUUAAAACACCACUGCCACGAUCAGUCUGCAAAUAUGAGUCAGAACAGAAACUAUUUAAAUAAUACUAUGGAUGGUACCCGUCUGGCUUGAUAUCUAGAUCAUAUAGAAUAAUGCUGUUUUUGUUUUCUGCUACUGUUGUCUGGAAUUGCCGAUGAAGUGUUGAUUGUGAUUGUGACCACAAAUAUGUUUUGUUCCUGGUCCUGUUAAGCCAGAAGAGUGUGGUUUACUGCAUGUAUGUACGUGAGGUUGUUUUGAUUAUACUGAAUUCACUUUAAAAAACCCACAUUUUGCCACUGCAGUGCUACAGGACAAUGAGAAAAGAAUUUCCAAUGAGAACAGUAUUUUAAAAGCAAACCACUGGGCUCCUUCCCUUUAAAAGAAUCUUAAGGGACACUACUCUUUCUUCUGAAUUUAAUUAUUUCUCAAAAUUACAUGUGAAUGCUGUCUUCAACAGAAGGUCGCCUUUCCUUCCCUUCUCAUUCAUUAUGUAAGACUUAGCAAAUUUCAGAUUGCAUAUUUCACACAGAGGUUAUGCUUCUUUAAAUUGCUUGUUUACUGUGUUGAGUAAAACUAUUACACGGCAACUUCUUUCAUUUGGUGAAUCUGGUCACCAUAUGUUCAGUGGUAGCUUCAGGCUUAUCAUUUGGAUUUUCAGUACCUUGCCUCUGAAGACCUGGGAAUGCUUACCACUAAAUGUUUGCCACCCUCAGUUUCUAGUUUUCCAGAAAGAGAGUGAAGACUGUAUUCUGGUGGGCCAAUAUUGCACCCCGUCAGUGCCUCUGCAGAGCCUCAAUCAGUAUGCCUAUGUUCUAGGAAAGACGGGUUUCAGUUCUAAGCAGUGAAUAAGACUAUCAAACACAAUGUGCCCAAAGACGUGUCUGACCUCAUAGUGCAUGACUCUCAUAGUUUAUUCAGUCUCUUCAAACGGGUGAUAGACAGGCAUGUAACACAUGAGCACUGCUCUCCAUGUCUUUUCCAAACUAAAACAGCAGCAUAAAUGACAGACAAACUCAAGAAAACCUGAAGUUCUUUUGUUCCUGCUGAAAUGAACCCUAGCCUUAAACCUACGCUCCCCCUACACUGCAGACAUAAAGACAGUCAAGAGAGACUCCUAGCAUGAAUUCCAACCCGGUAGUUUUUUAAUAAAGUUUGCUUAUCAUUCCCUGUUUCAUAGCUUUGCUCCUCACUUAGAGGCAUCCCAGACCACAGCCCAACGUUUUCAGGUAAUCUGACCAGGAUUUUUAAUGCUGGCUGCAUUCAGACUCUGUCUACGUGGGUACUAAAUGGAGAUUUCAGCCUGAUUAAACACUUGCCAGCUAAAUUUAAACCCAUUCUUUUUCCUGGUUUACGAAGUGCCUGAAAUCCUAUGCUAAUAACAAAGAGUGAAGCUAUCCAUUCUUUUUCAGUUGAAUCAAAUCAGCUUAUCACUAAUAAAAAGCCCUUCACUGCUCCUUAAAGCAGAGGCUAAUAAUGGUGAGUCAGAUACAUUCUUGUGAUAGCAUUUGUUCAGUUAAGAAACCCUCUCAGCUGACUGAAAAGCGAAAUAGCUUUUUUACAACCACUUAAUCUCACUGUAACGGCAUCUAUGGCUGCAACCCACGGUUUAAUCUCUAGUUACAGUAUGCCCAGUUAAUAAGGUUUCAAACAAAUGACUGUAUUUCCAUCACACCAAACUUGAAGCCAAGAAGCAUAGGAGUUUUCUGAGUGUUUUUUUUUUUUCCUUUGCUUUGUUUUUGUUUAACUGUCAAGAAAACACCCAAACCCAUGGCUGGCAGUAGUGCUUAAGCUGGCAAAGUUUUGAUGAUUUUUUUUUUCCACAUUUUAGAGUGACAGGAAAAGAACUUCCUGAGAAUAAAGGGCCGUGUUUUGUGUUUCAGUAUAAUGUCACAAACUCAGACCCACAUAAUGUCAAGCUCAGUUCUACAAUAUCUUACUCUGACCUCCAAGAUAACUAUUCUUCUUUUACCAAGUGUAUUCUGCAAACCACAUAAAGCAUUAUUUUUUUCUGAUAUGGGUUCUAUGAUUAUUUAAGAGUUUUUGCAAGGCAGGUCUAUGCCUACAUUGCACUUAGUCCUCAGCAUAAUCUUCUAAUCAUGCAUUCUACGCUUUCUUGCCCCACAGGCGUCAACGUAGCUGCCUCUUGAUUGAGGAACUGUGUUUUUAACUGCAGAAUUCCCAGUCCCUGGAGGUGUUCAAGGAACAUUUAGAUA
RNAcentral lists this long non-coding RNA (3776 nucleotides) under Gallus gallus (chicken). The record is from RNAcentral. Lineage: Eukaryota; Metazoa; Chordata; Aves; Galliformes; Phasianidae.